UUCUACUUCUAAUAAUGGACGAAAUAACGGCUGAGAAUACAUCAGAACUGAGACUGCAAACAGACCCACAGUCUUCGAAAGAGACUAAAGAGAAAAUACCAUGGCCAGCAUAUGCAGAGGCAUUCGAAGUGCAGGAAGAAUUGGAAAAUGAGAAAAAUUUAGCACUUUUGUGUAAAAUUUGUAUUGGAAAAAAAAUUAUACAUGCUAGCAGAACUUCAACAGCAAACUUAAGAAAAUAUUUAACUGCAAAACAUCAACAUAUAUUGAAAAGAAUAGUUGAGACAAAAGUUAAUUUGAAACGUCCAAAUAAAGAUGAAAAUGCCAAUAUUCCAAAUAAGUGUCAUGUAUUGGAAAGGUGGGGCUCUGGAAGCUCAAUGAUUACUCAAAAUAAAUUUGAUAAAGCUG
Solenopsis invicta (red fire ant) is the source of this 405-nucleotide long non-coding RNA. RefSeq lists it as uncharacterized. Lineage: Eukaryota; Metazoa; Arthropoda; Insecta; Hymenoptera; Formicidae. The transcript is spliced from 2 exons. The record is from RefSeq and is a predicted model, not a curated record.